UUCUAUAGAGCCCUCCUGGUGGCUCCUAGCCGGUGUCUGACUGACCUUUUUUGCACUUUUUCUAUACAGAUCAUUAAACUCUUGGGUUUAUUUUGCAGCAUACAAGUUAACAUAGGUCUCACGCAAGUAAAUAUCAAAGCUAAGAACAGUAGCUUCCAUGGCAAAGCAUCCACUUUAUAUCAGACACCAUCCCAGAUGGCCUGAAGUAGCUCUUUAAACCCACAUGACCCCCCCCACCCCCUGCCAAGAAGCCAUUCUCCCAUCUUAUAAAUGAGGGACCUGAGACACAGGCACUACUUUUUAAAUUUUGCCCCAAACCAUUUGAUUUGUUUGGAGAAAUCGGCGAUUGUUGUUGCUGGUUCCCCUCCUGCGGUCAGUCUGUCUUCUCCGUCGGUUUGUCCACAACCAGCAUCUUGGCUCAGCUUUGUCAUCUGUCCCCUGACCAGUUGCCAUUCCUUGCCUUGGGGUAACCCGGGGUUCUUUCAAACACACCCUUGUCUUGUCUCCACCAGACUGAGGCAGACCCCCUCCCUCUCCCCACAGAACAUUUCAUGGAUUGUGCUGUCCCUCCCUUUCUCUUUCGGGAAGGACUUGUUGGCUAAGAACACCUGCUGGUCUGGACUUCUUCCUUCUCUCCGUGCCCACUGCUCGGAUAAGAAGCUUCUCUCGCCUCCUGCUAGUGAUUCAUCAUCCAGGAGUGAUCGAAGGGAUCAAAGAUGGUAGGAGCAGUUGUGUGCUGCUAACCAUAGAGGUCUCACCUGUCUACGGAAACCUAACUGAACAGUUUUGUUUCCUGUUCCCGUAUCAAAGAUGACUGUAUCAUCCUUCCACGUGAGAGGACGUGCAAGUAGGAAAUGUUCAGCAUGUUAUUUGCAUCACCUCAUGGAGUUCCUGUUCAUGGUGCAGACUUUGUGAACAAAACCCACAGGACCCUCAGUCUGUCCAGGUGUCAGGCUGACUGCAGUGAUGAAGAACGGUAUUGCAGGUCCCGUCUGAAGAUAGCAAGCCCUCACAGUGAUGGAAAAUCUCCAUAGACACUCUAUCGUUUUAUUUCAAAGCAGGGGAGACGAAUCUGUGUGUAGCAGAGAAACAUCGAUUUUAAUGUCCAGUUUCAAGAGAUUGUCAAUUAGCAAAUAGUAACGUUUGUUUUGAAUGCUGUAAGUCACAGUUUUCCUCUGCACAUGGGACAAGUCCCAUGCGUGUGACAACACCCUGAUGCCAUGAUAGUAGGUCUCAGUCCGUUUAUGCUGCCAGAAUCAAAUGCCACGGACUGGGUGGCGCCUACACCACAGAAGUUCAUUGCUCACAGCUCUGGAGGCUGGAAGGUCCGCUCUCAGGGCAUCAGCACGGCUGGGUUCUGGCGAAGACCCUCCUCCGGGCUGCAGGCUGCAGACUCCUUGCCGCGUCCUCCCGUGGUGGAAGGGACACGCUAGCUCGCUGUGUUGCCGCAAAAGGCAGAACCUUCGUGAUCUAACCAAACCCCCCAGAGCCCCAUCACCUUUGGGGUUAGAAUUCCCACAGAAGAGUUUUGGGGAGACGCGAAUAUUCGGACCCUAGCAAAGUGUGAGGGUGAACAAGAGCCGGGGGGGUGACUCGGCCCGUCAUUCUGUAAGAGGAACCAUUGCACAAGCCCUAGGUUCACGGCCUUGAAGGCCUGCAGGGCGCCACACAGGACCUUGGUGAGAGAGAAGGUCCGUGUCAUUGAGUCUACUCCCAAUGAGAAGGCUGAUCCUGUGAGGUCCUAAUAGCAACGAAAAAAAAAAAAAAAAUUCUAGAGGCUAAUUGACUCCUAUGAGUUCGAGGUUCCUUCUACCCCAGAAGUUGGCAGACUUUUUCUCUAAAGGGUCAGAUGGAAAAUAUUUUAGUCUCUGUGGGUCAUUUAGUACCUUUUGCGACAACUCGACUCUCCCAUUAGAGCGCAAAAGCCAAAAAGUGAAUGAACGUGACUGUUUCAACGGAACAGAGAUCAUACCCUAAACGUAUUUUUUCUAGCCUUUCUUAUGCCUGUACUUCUGGGCACUGGGAUUUGAACUUCACGGAAUUUGCCUACGUCAAGAAAUACCAUUCUUCUUGUGAUUUCUUAAAAUUGCUAACCACUCUUAGCUCAUGAGGCAUACCAAAGGUGUGUCAACCUUGGCUGAAACCGUGCUCCUCACCAUGUGGUCCACAGACCUGUGGCUUCACCCGGAGGCUCAUCAGGAAUGCUGAUUCUCAGGCUCCGUUGCAAACAUGCUCUGUCAGAACUAGAAGACUAAAUAUCAGGAAGGCAGAGACCUCGUCUGCUCUAGAUGUAGACCCAACACAGUGCCUUAUACACAGUAGCUUCUCAGACAAAUAUUUGUUAAAAGAAUGCCUCCAGGAGUUUGUUCAGGCUCCCCCAUUAUAAACAAGUAAAUCUUCUGGGAAUACGUGCUCGAAGGGUUAAAAUGAACUUCUGUCAUCAGUCAGAAGUUUUUGCUUGUUGAAGGGCUAGAAAUACAUGUCCCCCUUAGCCUCACAGUAUAUCCUUCUCCAGGAUGACUUAACCAUGAUGGAUUUUUGCCACAUACACAACAGAAGAGUAAACUUACAUGAACUAAGAGGCUGGACGUUCAGCAAAAUUAAUACACUGGAUACAAAUCAAGAUGCAAAUAGAUUUUGUGGGUUGUGUUGAAACCGUGGUAAACAUGACGCAGAAGACAGGCGAGAAAAAAUAUGUGUAGAGUAUGAUCUCUUGAACCAAGCACGGAGAGAGAACAGAUCUCCCCAAGGAAGUCUAAAAAAUCUCUAAGCCUCCUCAACCCAGCCUCCCGGGUACUGACUUUUCUUGUUCUGACACAGCUCUUGGGGAGAAUACCCUUCCUCGGGGAAAAGAAGGCUUUUGAGGAACAACA
Herpailurus yagouaroundi (jaguarundi) is the source of this 2873-nucleotide long non-coding RNA. RefSeq lists it as uncharacterized. The transcript is spliced from 4 exons. The record is from RefSeq and is a predicted model, not a curated record. NCBI's taxonomy places the organism in Eukaryota, Metazoa, Chordata, Mammalia, Carnivora, Felidae.